UGCAGAGAUUCACAUCAUUGCUUAGGAUCCUAACUGCUGCCCAGAAAGGCCUUGGUCAGACAGCAGGCAAGAGCCUAGAGAGCUGCUGACCCCUGUGUGUUUGGGCAUCAGCUGCCGCAGAGGGUCUUGGAAAUGCGCAGUGAGUGCAUCGGCCAUAUUAUGACCACAGAUGCAGGGCUGGGAGGAGCCUGGAGAAGGAAGUGGGCACAGCAGCUCCCCUGUCAGAACUGCAGAGGCAGUUGUUUUCUCACUCCAGAUGUGAACCCCCAUGCUCCAGCCGCCUUGCCAGCCUGCUGCCCUGGCUCCCUGCAGUAAUAGCGAUGGAUUCUUAUCACUUUGUAACUAUACCAACCACCAGCUGCAGAGUAGUCACAGGUCAUGGUCAAGAGACAAGCAGCCUUGCUGUGGUCCUGGCCCACAGGGAUGGACUUGGUUCUGAGGUGUGGGAAGUCAUCUGCUGCCAAGAUCUGGAGCUGAUGGGUGUAAGUGCCUGGCCAAGUCCCCAGACUUGACAGGGAAUGGAGUCAGGCUUUGUGCUCUGGAAAGGGCAGUGCAUGAGGGAAUACCAGGGUCAGAGAACACUCUGGCAGACAGACAGGGAAAGAGGUCAUUCAUAAACAAGAUGGCAUUCUUCUGGCUCCUUCGUCUCCCAGGACAAAGAGUCAACAGUUCCUUCCUCCCAUGGUGGACUCCCUCUAGGCCUUGACAUGGCCUAGGCAGGCCCUGACCCUGGACGCUAUAACCCAACUAGCUCACUCUUCCUUGUCUAAUUUGACCAGUCUAAAAUGAGGUGAGGGGGACCUGCCCUAUGCUACCCCAAACACUUAAAAACCCAAUCCCUCCCAGGGAGGAGGGUGCAGAUUUCAGUUUCUGGAUCUCCUUCCCACUCGUGGUGAGUUUGUCUUGGGGGGACUGUGCUACAUGGAUACACUUUCACUUUUAAUAAAACGUGUUUGCUUGCUGUGACUAUGACUUAUUUCCUAGAUUUUAAUUCUUUAGUCAAUGGAGAAAACGAACCUAACCCAAGACCCCUAGACAGUAACAUUUCGGAGGAAUUCAUCCCCCAAAUUCAUGUAAUUUGAAGACGACUGACUCAUUAAGGUCAGUAUGAACAAAGCCAAACUCAGAAAGGAUAGGAGGGUGUGGUGGUUUGAAUGAGAAUGCCUCCCUUAGGCUCAGGUGUUUGAAGGCUUGGUCCUCAGUUGUUGGAACUGUUGGGGAAGGACUGGGAGGUGUGGUCUUGUUGGAGGAGGUGUGUCACUAGGAGUGGGCUUUGAAUUUCAGAAGCCAGGCCAGGCCCAGUCUCUCUCUCUCUCUCUCUCUCUCUCUCUCUCUCUCUCUCUCUCUCUCUCUCUCUCUCUCUCCCUACAACUGGCAGAUCAGAUGUGAGCUCUCAGCUACUGCUCCCAUGCAGGCCUCCCUGCCACUCUACUUCCCACCAUGAUGCUCAUGGACUGACCCUCUGAAACUGUAAGCAAGCCACCAAUUAAAUGCUUUCCUAUAUGAGAACUGCCUUGGUCAUGAUGUCUUUUCACAGCAAUAGAACAGUGACUAAGACAAAGGGUGUGAUAGUUAAACUCUCCUGGUUCCUUCCCAUCCAUGAAUGGGGGACCCCCAAGUUUAGCAAAUGGAAUUACUAGGCUGGUAAUUUGGUUUCUCCUUUUUCUCUGAUAGGGAGAUUCCUAUUCAGAAUUUACCUCCAAUGCCUAUCAGAGAGCAAGAGGUUUUUUUUGGUUGGUUUGUUUGUUUGUUUGUUUUUGUUUUUGUUUUGGUAGUUUUGGCCAAAUUCAUGAUAGCCACCCCUGGAGCUGAAAUGAAGGAUCUCUUAGAGUUAAUUAUUGAUAGCUGGCUUCUGAGAAACUCAAUGACCUUUGUUUCCAAUGAGAUUAAAUCUUUCAUCUUUACCCCAUUAAUCAUGUCUUCUCAAACUUGAGGGUUCUGUCUUAUCUUUCCUCUUGUUGCUCAUCUCACCUAAAUCAAACAUGAAAAGGGCCUUUAACAAGUAGUUAAGAAUGUGUGAAAGUUCUUUAGAAAGAAAGAGGACUGCUUUCUUAGAAAAAUGAGAAGACUGCUCUUGCAGAGGACCCCAGUUCAACUCCCAGCAUUCACACGGCAGUUCACAAACACCUGUAACUCCAGGUGCAGGAGGGCAGAUGCUAUCCUCUCACCUCCACAGGCUCCUGUAUAUACAUGAUGUGCACACACACACACACCUCUAAGAAAAAUUAAACAUUUUUUAAUGUGGGUAGAGCAGUCCUAGGCCACUCUCUUUAGGGAGAUAUGUGAAGUUGCUCUUAUCCUGGAGACAGGUAAACCUUUUGUUGCUUUUAAAGCUUCUAUAUUUCUGUCUUUCCUCUGUCCCUCUAUGGAUUUAAAAGACAGAAGGCCCACUAUUGUUUUAACCUAAAAUUUGAGUCAUGGUUAAAUUUCCCUUUCUUUCUCUCUAGAAGCCUUUUGGGAGAAACUUCACACUGUGAUUCUAGCCACUCCCAUAGUCCAAUAUGGACUCCUCUGUUGUAGAAUAUUAGUUGAAGAUGUAUUAUAUUUGUUUAUGCUGUGGAAUAUUUGUUUAAUAAUGCUGAGAUGUGUUGCAUUCUUUUAUGUUGCAUUUGUUUAACUCUAUGAAGCUGUGUUACUUUGACUGUCUAAAACACCCGACUGGUCUAAUAAAGAGCUGACUGCUCAAUAGCUGGGCAGGAGAGAGAAACAGAUAGGGCUGCCAGGCAGAGAGAAUAAAUAAGAGAAAAAGGAAAGGAGAAGGAGAGGAGAAUGCCAGGGUCAUCCACCUAGCCACACAGCUAGACAUGGAGUAAGAAGGAAAGAAAGGAAUAUAGAAUAGAGAAAGGUAAAAGCCCAGAGGCAAAAGGUAUGGGAUAAUUUAAGUUAAUAAAAGCUGGCCAGAAACAAGACAAGCUAAGGCCAGGCAUUCAUAAGUAAGAAUAUGUCUCCCUGUAUUUAUUUGGGAGCUGGGUGGCAGACCCCCAAAGAAUAAAAAAGAAAAACCAACUACAUUUUGGUGCCCUAUGUUGGGCGCCAACAUUGUUUUGCAUUCAAUACAAUGGCUGCACCUUAAGCACCUUAAACAAUUGCUGUCCCAACCGGCAACUGCAAUUCCACAGCUAUCAGCAGCAGUUCAGCCACAUGGGCCACAGCCAGGAGGGAAUUCUGUUCCCUCAGGUACCAGCUCUGUCAUGGCCACUAAAGGAAACCUUAUCUAAAUCUCUAUUUUUCUAUAGAACUCAGGAUUCAAAGGUUGAAGUAAAAUCAUGCUAACUCAGAGAGAUUGAAUAGAAAAUAGCUAACCUUCUCUCCUAGAUCACAUUUCCCAAAAAAGGACCAGCCUUCUACCCCCACUAAAGAAUCCUUGGUACACUUAGAUCCUCCCUACUACUUCCUGUCAGCCAAUUGCUGACUCAGCCUCCUGUUGUUGUUUGUUUUUGCUCUUUUGGGGAGCCCGCCACCCAGCUCCCAAAAAAUCACACACAGAGGCUUAUUCUUAUUUAUAAAUGCCUGGUCUUGGCUUGGCUUAGUUUCUAGCCAGCAUUCCUUAACUUAAAUGAUCCCAUCUACAUUUUGCCUCUAGGAUUUUCCAGUUCUCUUACUCUUACUUUGUGGCUUGCUGUGUAGCUGGGUGGCUGGCCCCUCGAGUCCUCCUCCUUCUCUGGCUACUUCUUUUUUCUCCUCCCAGAGUUCUCCUUCUAUAUAUUCUCUUUGCCUGCUAGCCCUGCCUAACCUUUCCUGCCUUGCUAUUGGCCAUUCAGUCCUUUAUUAGACCAUCAGGUGGGUUUGUUUUAUUUUGUUUUGUUUUGUUUUAUUCGAGACAGAGUUUCUCUGUGUAGCUUUUGGAGCCUGUCCUGGAACUCACUCUGUAGACCAGGCUGGCCUCGAACUCUCAGAGAUUUGCCUGCCUCUGCCUCCCAAGUGCUGGCAUUAAAGGCAUUAAAGGCCACCCACCCAGUUACCACAGAUGUUUUAGACAGACACAGCUUCACAGAG
Long non-coding RNA from Peromyscus californicus insignis, 3996 nucleotides. RefSeq lists it as uncharacterized. The transcript is spliced from 3 exons. Lineage: Eukaryota; Metazoa; Chordata; Mammalia; Rodentia; Cricetidae. The record is from RefSeq and is a predicted model, not a curated record.